This 224-nucleotide unclassified non-coding RNA is filed under the name Hevea brasiliensis (rubber tree). Lineage: Eukaryota; Viridiplantae; Streptophyta; Magnoliopsida; Malpighiales; Euphorbiaceae. The record is from RNAcentral.
AAUGCCAAGAAGAAUGCUAUUUAUGCAAUACACAUAGAAUAUGGACCUUAUCCAGCUGCGACCCGUAUGGAUUAUAUAGCUGAGUUUACGGUGACAAUGCCUAUUUUGAGUCUAACCGGAACUAGUGAUAGUUUACCUAAUGGAGAGCAUGUUGUUCAGGUUUACUGUGUCCAAACACAGGCUAUUCAGCAAUAUGCAUUGGAUUUGUCACAGUGCCUACCACC